UCCCUUGUGGCUCAGCUGGUAAAGAAUCCGCCUGCAAUGCGGGAGACCUGGGUUCAAUUCCUGGGUUGGGAU
Molecule: transfer RNA, 72 nt
Filed under: Bos taurus (domestic cattle)
Lineage: Eukaryota; Metazoa; Chordata; Mammalia; Artiodactyla; Bovidae
Also listed under: 4 other names
Rfam family: tRNA
About the family: Transfer RNA (tRNA) molecules are approximately 80 nucleotides in length. Their secondary structure includes four short double-helical elements and three loops (D, anti-codon, and T loops). Further hydrogen bonds mediate the characteristic L-shaped molecular structure. tRNAs have two regions of fundamental functional importance: the anti-codon, which is responsible for specific mRNA codon recognition, and the 3' end, to which the tRNAs corresponding amino acid is attached (by aminoacyl-tRNA synthetases). tRNAs cope with the degeneracy of the genetic code in two manners: having more than one tRNA (with a specific anti-codon) for a particular amino acid; and 'wobble' base-pairing, i.e. permitting non-standard base-pairing at the 3rd anti-codon position.
Source: Rfam by way of RNAcentral